AUUAGGAAUCUUGCGCAAUGGGCGAAAGCCUGACGCAGCGACGCCGCGUGGAGGAGGAAGUCUUUCGGGAUGUAAACUCCUUUUGACGAGGAAGAAACAAAUGACGGUACUCGUCGAAUAAGCCCCGGCUAACUACGUGCCAGCAGCCGCGGUAAUACGUAGGGGGCGAGCGUUGUCCGAAGUUACUGGGCGUAAAGCGCGCGUAGGCGGGGGAGCAAGUCCGCUGUGAAAGCCCGCAGCUUAACUGCGGAGGGUCGGUGGAUACUGCUUCUCUUGAAGGGACUAGGGGGAGAUGGAAUUACCGGUGUAGCGGUGAAAUGCGUAGAGAUCGGUAGGAACACCAGUGGCGAAGGCGGUCUCCUGGGGUUGUCUUGACGCUGAGGCGCGAAAGCUGGGGGAGCGAACGG
This 407-nucleotide ribosomal RNA is filed under the name uncultured bacterium. RNAcentral's name for it is "bacterial SSU rRNA". It matches the Rfam family "Bacterial small subunit ribosomal RNA", at positions 354 to 775 of the family's 1533-position model. The record is from RNAcentral.